RNAcentral lists this ribosomal RNA (376 nucleotides) under uncultured bacterium. Its description in RNAcentral is "bacterial SSU rRNA". It matches the Rfam family "Bacterial small subunit ribosomal RNA", at positions 524 to 898 of the family's 1533-position model. The record is from RNAcentral.
AACGUAGGAGACAAGCGUUAUCCGAAUUUACUGGGCGUAAAGCGCGUGCAGGUGGUUGGGUAAGUGGCGUGUGAAAUCUCCUGGCUCAACUGGGAGAGGCUGCGCCAAACUGCCCGGCUAGAGGACGGUAGAGGGAGGUGGAAUUCCCGGUGUAGUGGUGAAAUGCGUAGAUAUCGGGAGGAACACCUGUGGCGAAAGCGGCCUCCUGGACCGUACCUGACGCUCAGACGCGAAAGCUAGGGGAGUGAACGGGAUUAGAAACCCCGGUAAUCCUAGCCGUAAACGAUGUGGACUGGGUGUCGGUGGGGUAAAAGCCAUCGGUGCCGAAGCCAACGCGAUAAGUCCACCGCCUGGGGACUACGGCCGCAAGGUUAAA